CUUGAGUAUUUUCUGGUAGCAUCACAUUUCAAAAGCUUCUAUUUUUUUUUUUUUUCAGUUGCUUUUACUUACUAGAUUACACUCCAUUCGUAUAUUUUAAGACAUUUUUUCUUAUAAAACUAAUUAUGUAUUCGUGUGCAUAGUCGAAAAUCGUGUGAUAUAAUAAUUGUUUUAGUAGUUGUGGUCGAACCCCGUUCAAAAGCGGUCCUGGACCUUGAGAAGUAAUAAUAAUAAAGUCAUGUCAUCCUUGUAGUGGGAAAUACCGUUUGAGGGGUUAUUCAUUUUGUUCGGUGCUAUAAAAACCAUUAACAAAUAAAAAUUAUAUCAAAUUCGGUUAAACGGUGAAAAUUGAAAUGGACGGGGGAAGGUGUUCGAUCACGAUUGGUAG
Non-coding RNA from Cinara cedri, 388 nucleotides. Lineage: Eukaryota; Metazoa; Arthropoda; Insecta; Hemiptera; Aphididae. The record is from the annotation of a GenBank genome assembly.